Molecule: ribosomal RNA, 433 nt
Filed under: uncultured bacterium
Lineage: Bacteria
Description: partial 16S ribosomal RNA
Rfam family: Bacterial small subunit ribosomal RNA
Source: RNAcentral
AACGAACGCUGGCGGCAGGCCUAACACAUGCAAGUCGAGCGAGGACUUCGGUCCUAGCGGCGGACGGGUGAGUAACGCGUGGGAACGUGCCCUUUGCUUCGGAAUAGCCCUGGGAAACUGGGAGUAAUACCGGAUGAGCCCUUUGGGGGAAAGAUUUAUCGGCGAAGGAUCGGCCCGCGUUGGAUUAGGUAGUUGGUGGGGUAAUGGCCUACCAAGCCGCCGAUCCAUAGCUGGUUUGAGAGGAUGAUCAGCCACACUGGGACUGAGACACGGCCCAGACUCCUACGGGAGGCAGCAGUGGGGAAUCUUAGACAAUGGGGGAAACCCUGAUCUAGCCAUGCCGCGUGAGCGAUGAAGGCCUUAGGGUUGUAAAGCUCUUUCAGCUGGGAAGAUAAUGACGGUACCAGCAGAAGAAGCCCCGGCUAACUCCGUG